RNAcentral lists this long non-coding RNA (242 nucleotides) under Elaeis guineensis (African oil palm). RNAcentral's name for it is "long non-coding RNA (EGUI_LNC038497)". The record is from RNAcentral. Lineage: Eukaryota; Viridiplantae; Streptophyta; Magnoliopsida; Arecales; Arecaceae.
CUGUGGGUUUGCUGGUUUGUUUGAGAUUAUAUUUUAGAGACUACUUGAUUUAUGCUUAAAAAUAUUUCGAGCAAAUCGAUCACCAAAACUCUAUAUAAGGUAUGGACUUGGGUAAUUCAAUACUCUCUUAUCUUAAGAUUUGGGGUGUCAAACUUAUGUGAAAUAUUCACAAACCGACUAGCUUAGAUCUUGGUCUGAUAAAUAUUAUAUUAGAGAUAUUUCUUCUACCUUCUUGAUGGACA